CUGGAUAAUUGCUGGCAUUAGCUAGAGGAAAGUCCAUGCUCGCACCAUCUGUGAUGAUGGUAGUGAUUGCGCUAGCGGAAAAAAUAACGCUAGGUAUGCAGGAGUGCAUAACGGCGGAACUAUUCUAAAACUUCGGUCAUGAAAAUGUUCCUUAAGGUGCCACAGAGACGAGUUCAGUAGAAAUAUUGAAGUGAAACGUUGGUAAACCCCGCAAGCGAGAAACCCAAAUUAUGGUAGGGGAGGUUGUAGCGGCGAAUCGAAGCCAGCUAUAGCACGCAUUGCGUAGAUAAAUUAUUAUCCUAGACAAAACAUGGCUUAUAG
Molecule: RNase P RNA, 321 nt
Filed under: bovine gut metagenome
Description: Bacterial RNase P class B
Rfam family: Bacterial RNase P class B
About the family: Ribonuclease P (RNase P) is a ubiquitous endoribonuclease, found in archaea, bacteria and eukarya as well as chloroplasts and mitochondria.
Source: RNAcentral